RNAcentral lists this ribosomal RNA (1767 nucleotides) under Desulfosporosinus sp. Tol-M. RNAcentral describes it as "bacterial SSU rRNA". It matches the Rfam family "Bacterial small subunit ribosomal RNA". The record is from RNAcentral. Lineage: Bacteria; Bacillati; Bacillota; Clostridia; Eubacteriales; Desulfitobacteriaceae.
UUUUUUGGAGAGUUUGAUCCUGGCUCAGGACGAACGCUGGCGGCGUGCCUAACACAUGCAAGUCGAACGGAGAAUUUCAAAGAGCUUGCUCUAAGAGAUUUUUAGUGGCGGACGGGUGAGUAACGCGUGGGUAACCUACCCAUAAAGCCGGGACAACCCUUGGAAACGAGGGCUAAUACCGGAUAAUCUUAAGUCUUGGCAUCAAGGCAUAAGGAAAGGUGGCCGAUGAGAAUGCUACCGAUUAUGGAUGGACCCGCGUCUGAUUAGCUGGUUGGUGGGGUAAAGGCCUACCAAGGCGACGAUCAGUAGCCGGCCUGAGAGGGUGAACGGCCACACUGGGACUGAGACACGGCCCAGACUCCUACGGGAGGCAGCAGUGGGGAAUCUUCCGCAAUGGACGAAAGUCUGACGGAGCAACGCCGCGUGUAUGAUGAAGGUCUUCGGAUUGUAAAGUACUGUCUUUGGGGAAGAACGAAGUACUUGAGAAAAUUGAGUACAAAUGACGGUACCCAAGGAGGAAGCCCCGGCUAACUACGUGCCAGCAGCCGCGGUAAUACGUAGGGGGCAAGCGUUGUCCGGAAUUAUUGGGCGUAAAGGGCGCGUAGGCGGAUAAUUAAGUCCGGUGUGAAAGAUCAGGGCUCAACCCUGAGAGUGCAUCGGAAACUGGCUAUCUUGAGGACAGGAGAGGAAAGUGGAAUUCCACGUGUAGCGGUGAAAUGCGUAGAUAUGUGGAGGAACACCAGUGGCGAAGGCGACUUUCUGGACUGUAACUGACGCUGAGGCGCGAAAGCGUGGGUAGCAAACAGGAUUAGAUACCCUGGUAGUCCACGCUGUAAACGAUGAGUGCUAGGUGUAGAGGGUAUCGACCCCUUCUGUGCCGCAGUUAACACAAUAAGCACUCCGCCUGGGGAGUACGGCCGCAAGGUUGAAACUCAAAGGAAUUGACGGGGGCCCGCACAAGCGGUGGAGCAUGUGGUUUAAUUCGACGCAACGCGAAGAACCUUACCAGGGCUUGACAUCCUCUGAAUCCGCAGGAAACUGCGGAGUGCCCUUCGGGGAGCAGAGAGACAGGUGGUGCAUGGUUGUCGUCAGCUCGUGUCGUGAGAUGUUGGGUUAAGUCCCGCAACGAGCGCAACCCCUGUAUUUAGUUGCUAACGAGUAGAGUCGAGCACUCUAGAUAGACUGCCGGUGAUAAACCGGAGGAAGGUGGGGAUGACGUCAAAUCAUCAUGCCCCUUAUGUUCUGGGCUACACACGUGCUACAAUGGCCGGUACAGACGGAAGCGAAGCCGCGAGGGGGAGCAAAUCCGAGAAAGCCGGUCUCAGUUCGGAUUGCAGGCUGCAACUCGCCUGCAUGAAGUCGGAAUCGCUAGUAAUCGCAGGUCAGCAUACUGCGGUGAAUACGUUCCCGGGCCUUGUACACACCGCCCGUCACACCACGAAAGUCUGCAACACCCGAAGCCGGUGAGGUAACCGUCCGGAGGUCAGAGGGCAGAAGCCCAAUCAGAGGCCGGAGGUCAGAAACSGGAAGUCAGAGAGGAAGUUACUAUUGGAAGGACUAAGCAAAUCUUACGAGAAAAGCUUAGAACCAAAAGAUAAGACAAACAUCUGACAUCUGGCAUCUGAUUACCGACAUAUCUGGAAAGGCAUCUGAUUUCCGACCUCUGGAUGGAGCUAGCCGUCGAAGGUGGGGCCGAUAAUUGGGGUGAAGUCGUAACAAGGUAGCCGUAUCGGAAGGUGCGGCUGGAUCACCUCCUUUCUAAGGAGA